This 440-nucleotide ribosomal RNA is filed under the name uncultured bacterium. RNAcentral's name for it is "partial 16S ribosomal RNA". It matches the Rfam family "Bacterial small subunit ribosomal RNA", at positions 338 to 795 of the family's 1533-position model. The record is from RNAcentral.
CCUACGGGUGGCAGCAGUGGGGAAUAUUGCACAAUGGGGGAAACCCUGAUGCAGCGACGCCGCGUGAGUGAAGAAGUAAUUCGUUAUGUAAAGCUCUAUCAGCAGGGAAGAAAAUGACGGUACCUGAGUAAGAAGCCCCCGCUAACUACGUGCCAACAGCCGCGGUAAUACGUAGGGGGCAAGCGUUAUCCGGAUUUACUGGGUGGAAAGGGAGCGUAGACGGCAGUGCAAGUCUGGAGUGAAAGGCGGGGGCUCAACCCCCGGACUGCUCUGGAAACUGUACGGCUGGAGUGCAGGAGAGGUAAGUGGAAUUCCUAGUGGAGCGGUGAAAUGCGUAGAUAUUAGGAGGAACACCAGUGGCGAAGGCGGCUUACUGGACUGUAACUGACGUUGAGGCUCGAAAGCGUGGGGAGCAAACAGGAUUAGAUACCCUUGUAGUC